UCAAAAGUUUGUCUUGUGACCUA
Molecule: non-coding RNA, 23 nt
Filed under: Arabidopsis thaliana (thale cress)
Lineage: Eukaryota; Viridiplantae; Streptophyta; Magnoliopsida; Brassicales; Brassicaceae
Source: RNAcentral